RNAcentral lists this long non-coding RNA (3087 nucleotides) under Nicotiana tabacum (common tobacco). RNAcentral describes it as "long non-coding RNA (NTAB_LNC011986)". The record is from RNAcentral. Lineage: Eukaryota; Viridiplantae; Streptophyta; Magnoliopsida; Solanales; Solanaceae.
CUCCUCACGUGACUUCACACAAAAGCACACACCUACACAUAUAUAAUCCACGGACUGGCACAAAUACAAAGAGGGGAUUGAAACACAAAAAUAAAAUGGAGAGGGUCAAAGACAGAGAGCAGCAACAGUGAGAGAAGGAGAGAGAGGAAUUUUAGUCCAAAGAUCGAGCGAGCAGAGAUAAAAAAAAAAUAACAGGGGAAUUGGACAAAACAAAGAACAAAGGGGAACGACAAAAAUAGGGAGGAGAUUAGAAAACCAUUGAAACCUUCACCUUCUUCCUCAAUUCAAUCACUUAAUUCAUCCAUGGAUCUUACUGUUAAGAAGUUUAUUUUUCCGCCAUAGCAGAUCUAUCUACACCCCCAGUAGACUACCGGCUCUUAGCCUUCACUAUCGUGAAAUCCCAGUUGCAAUCUCGGUAAAACCCAGACACCAACAGUUUAUUUUCCAACUCUCAUCAUUAUCGAGUUUCGAGUUUUCCGGCGAGGUAUGUAAACAAAAGGAAUUCGUGUCAGUGAGGUUUCUGGUUCGAGGACCGUCCGGCAUCUGUAAUUCAGGUUCCAAUCGUUUGAGGUCUAUUUCUCUCUUAUUUUGCUGAUUUGCUUAAUAUCGUGCUUUCCUUUGUUUCGCUAAUUGUUGCUUCUCUGUCUUGUUGAUCGUUUGAGUUGUUGUUCUAUUGUUAUGUUUGGAGUGUCUCAGUAAUACUUGCUUACUCUGUUUCGUUCUAUUGGUCAUCAUUUUUGGUGUGGUUUUGUUUAAUCUGUUCGGGUGGAUUUUGAUGCAUAAAAGGAGUUUCUGAUUCUUUGUUUUGUUGUUUCAGUUAGAGAUAAAAUGUUUAAGUCCUCCUAGUUACUACUCUAACAAUAAUACUAUGAUUAAAUUAACAUAAUUAAGUAGAUUGGAUGGAAUUUUGAUUGUUUCAGUUGUGGGAAUUAGAUUUUAAAAUAAGGAGGAAAUUGGGGUUAAAUAAUUUUAUUGCUCUUUUAUUCUUACUCUCAUGAAUUUGAUCGAUAGUAGCAUGCUUAGGCCGUUAACACCUGGGUAGGCAAACUUUAGGAUUUUUAUUAGUUUGAGGUGAGAGGUCGUUCCUUUAGUUAAAUUCAUCCGGAGAAUGUCCCGAAGGAUUUGUAUAUAUUUUAUUCUGGGGAAUACGCCGUAGUAUUCUGUAAUUGGAGGCUAAGAGUAGAAGUUGUAGUGUUUUAUUCUUAUUUUAUUUUUCUUUAUUAGGAGGGGACGACCUCGAGCCUCUUAUGUGUUAAUUUUCCCAUUUCUGUGUUUAUUACCUCAAUUCGAACAUUUUAAAAGCCAACUUGAUCAUGUACGCAACCGUACUAGUUACGGGACUCGGGGAAUGUCUAACACCUUCUCCCUGAAGCAAAUGAACCCCCUUACCAGAAUCUCUGGUGCAAACUUAGUUUUGGAGUCUCAAGUGUUUUGAAAGGGAAAAAAUUAUUUUUAGAAAAACAGUGACCUGACAUACCGAGAUCAAAUAUCAGGUGGCGACUCUGAGUUAAUCCUUUUGAACACAAAUUCUUUGUCACUUUCAAAAAUUGAAAACCCUUUGAACUUUACAAAUUCCUUUUAUUAUUUUAAGAGGGGUUACUGAAGGUUGAAAAAAAAGGGUGUGACAGACCCCCCUUCUCCAUUAGUUCAAAUUCCUUUAGUUUUUCCUCCUCCUUCAAGUCAUUUCAUCCAUGACACUUCUCCUCAACACUCACUUACACCACUAUCUACACCCACAUCUCACACCAAUCCUAGUUGUCUUCCUACACACCUUAAUUCACCCGUUGUUUCACCUGCUCCUCCACCUGCUUCCCUUAAUUCCCCUACUCCUUCUCCUGUUUCUUCCUCUCCAUCUAUUCCCCUCAGGAGAUCAAACAUAAUAUAGGCACCCUGCCUUGUUAUCUUAAGGACUAUGUUUGCAAUAACAUCUAUUUCACUGAUCUUACCACUUCCUUUUUUUUCUACUCCUUGUUCACCACCUCCAUUCUCUUUUUCUGCCCUCGCCACCUCUAAUCAACAUCUUAGUCAUUCUCUCUCUACCAUUUCAGAACCAACCACUUACAAUCAGGCCCAUUCCAAUCCAGGUUGGGUCCAAGCCAUGGAUUCUAAACUUCAAGCUUUGGAAGAGAAUCACACAUAGGAUGUGGUUCUCUUACCUUCUGGCAAGAAAGCUCUUCCUUGUAAAUAGGUCUACAAGUUCAAGCACCAUGCUAAUGGCACUAUUGAAAGGCUAAAUGCCAUGUUAGUUAUCAGGGGUGAUGUGCAGAGAGAAGGCAAUGACUACACAGAAACCUUCUCUCCAGUUGUCAAAAUGACUACUAUCAGGUGUUUAUUUUCUAUUGCAGUCAAGAAAGGGUGGCCCAUUUCUCAAUUUGAUGUAAGUAAUGCCUUUUUACAUGGGGAGUUACAGGAAGAGGUUUACAUGAAAUUUCCUGCUGGGUUGUCUUCCCAGGCCUAACUAUGUUUGUCGACUUAAAAGGUCUCUUUAUGGCUUGAAGCAAGCUUCAAGACAAUGGUAUGCAAGACUUGUUGGAGCCCUCGGUUUUAAAGGAUUCUCUUCAUCCCUAAACGAUUACUCCCUAUUCUUUAAACACACAGGGGAUCUCAUUUCCAUUCUUACUGUAUACGUAGAUGAUAUACUAAUUACAGGCAAUAAUUUUAAUGAAUUAUCAGAUCUUAAAGUAUUUCUACAUUCUGAGUUUAAAAUGAAGGACCUUGGGCCUCUUCACUACUUCUUAGGCAUGGAGAUUUUGAGGGAGCAUGAUGGAAUUAUUAUAACUCAAAGGAAAUUUACCACUGACUUGCUUGCUGAAUUUGAUUGCUUCUCUCUCCCACUGGUUUCUUCUCCACUUGAUCUAUCUUCCAAGUUGAUUGCCAAUUCUGGAGCUCUUUUAUCUGAUGCUUCCCUCUAUCGUCAUCUUGUUGGCAAGCUCAAUUAUUUGACUCACAAGUGGCCUGAUCUUUCAUUUGCCAUUUUGACUCUCAGGAAAUAUAUGCAACACCCUUGCAUUGGGCAUUUCACAGCAGCUUAUGCGUCCUUCGUUAUUUUCGCUCUAAUCCAAGCCAAGGUUUGUUCCUCAAUGCUCG